Acanthosepion pharaonis is the source of this 115-nucleotide non-coding RNA. NCBI's taxonomy places the organism in Eukaryota, Metazoa, Mollusca, Cephalopoda, Sepiida, Sepiidae. The record is from the annotation of a GenBank genome assembly.
UUACAGCCAUAUCACGUUGAAACUACCAGUUCCCAUAUGAUCACCGAAGUUAAGUAAUGUCGAGCCUAGUCAGUACCUAGAUGGGUGUACACUUCGGAAUACCAUAUGCUGUAAG